Ictalurus punctatus (channel catfish) is the source of this 1608-nucleotide long non-coding RNA. Lineage: Eukaryota; Metazoa; Chordata; Actinopteri; Siluriformes; Ictaluridae. The record is from Ensembl.
UGCUUAUUUAUGAAUGUAUAUGAAAUGUACAUUUUCUUCUUUCCUUUGAAAAUCACCCCGGGACCAACCCAGGUUUGCAUGCUUUGUGUACAUAAGCACUGCUCAGGGAACUGUCAGACAAUGUGAGUGCGUGCGGGUAUACCAGAGCACUGAGUCACUGUGUUCCGCAGUCUGCUAAUUGGCUGAUCUAGGCAGGGUUAUUUUAAGCAGGUAUAAAGUUCAGGUGGCUUCGGCUAGUCAACUGAAAUGCUCCUGGCAGAGCGUCUGCUGCUUUCCCCAUUUACUGAUUAUUCGGAGGCUCAAAGAGAGGAUUGUGUGAGUAAGCGAACACGUAGACAUCAGCCGGAAUGAGGUUUCACCUGUGAUGACCUGUAUUUGUCAUUAAAAAGGAUAAACCCACAUGAAGACCUGUCUAUGGGAGGAAAAACAGCUGUCUAUGGGGGAAACGCAAGCCAUUUUGAAGCUGAGAAGAGAGGGAAAAUGUAUCUUAGCCAGUGCACGAGCAUUGGGCAUAAUCAAUACAGCAAUUUGGAAUGUCUUGAAAAAGAAAGAAACCACUGGUGUAUUAAUAACCAGACAUUGAACAGGUCAGCCAAGGAAAACAACAGCAGUUGAUAACAUGAACAUUGUUGAGUUGUGAAGAAAAACCCAAAAACAACAGUCAGUGACCUCAACAACCUUCACAGGGCAGGGGUGACGGUAUCACAAUCCACCAUUCGAAGAAGACGUCAAGUGCAGAAAUAUAGAGGCAAUACCACAAGGUGCAAACCACUCAUCAGCAGUAAGAAUCGAAAAGCCAGAUUGGAAUUUGCAAAAGAAGUACAGAGAUGAGCCACAAAAGUUCUGUAACCAAGAUUAACCUCAACCAAAGUAAUGGAAAGGCCAAAGUGAGGAGAAAGAAUGGAUCUGCUCAUGAUCCAAAAGCUAGAAGCUCAUCAGUCAAGCAUGGUGGAAGUAGUGUCAUGGCUUGGGUUUGCAUGGCUGCUUCUGGAACAGGCUCACUAAUCUUUAUUGAUGAUGUAACUCAUGUCGGUAACAACAGAAUGAAUUCAGAAGUUUACAGGAACAAUGUCUUCCAAUUUUCAGAGAAAUGCAUCCAACCUAAUUGGGAGGAACUUCAUCAUGCAGCAAGACAAUGAUCCAAAACACACUGCCAACACAAUAAAUGACCUCAUCUAAAAAGGCAACAGUUUGGUGAUGUGAAUGCAUCUUCGGGUUGAUGCAGUUAUUGCAAGCAAGGGAUAUGCAACCGGAUAUUAAGUGUUAUUUACUUUAAGGCCAUCUGUUCCAUUAUUAUUGCUCCCCUAAAAAUUAGGUGUUCUGAUACAAAAGGUUUUAUGUUGUUUAACACAUCUAGAUGUAAAUACCAGGAAAUGAAAGCUGAAAUUCUGAUCUAUUGUCUCAUCCAUCUUUGGAUCCUUCAGUGUAUAGCACAAACAAAAGAAUAAGCAUUGCCUUUCCAAUAGUUUUGGAGUGGACUGUAUACUGAUAACAUAAUAUUUUGUUAACAUUUAGCAUAAAGUAUGUCUGUCACGUCAACACACACACACUGUAGUUUGAACUUUGUGUUCUCUGUACAACACAUACACUGUAUAUGUACAUGACUAU